GUCAUCCAACUUUGUUGGAGGCUAACGCAGGGAACUGAAACAUCUUAGUACCUGCAGGAAAAGAAAAUAAAUAAUGAUUCCCCUAGUAGUGGCGAGCGAACGGGGAUUAGCCCAAACCACCCAUGUUACGGCAUGUGUGGGGUUGUAGGACCACGCUCUCGCAAGACAGUUAUUGAGAAGAAACGACUGGAAAGUCGUGCCAUAGACGGUGAUAGCCCGGUAUUCUAAGGUAACCGAAGCGUAGUGGUAUCCUGAGUAGCGCGGAGCACGAGGAAUUCUGCGUGAACCAGCCGGGACCAUCCGGUAAGGCUAAAUACUCCCGAGAGACCGAUAGCGAACCAGUACUGUGAAGGAAAGGUGAAAAGCACUUCGAAUAGAAGAGUGAAAUAGUCCCUGAAACCAUGCGCCUACAAGCGGUCGGAGCAGCGUAAGCUGUGACGGCGUGCCUUUUGCAUAAUGAACCUACGAGUUACUUUUUCCGGCAAGGUUAAGCAUCUUGAGAUGUGGAUCCGAAGCGAAAGCGAGUCUGAACAGGGCGGAUAGUCGGAAGGAGUAGACGCGAAACCAAGUGAUCUACCCUUGGGCAGGUUGAAGGUUAGGUAACACUAACUGGAGGACCGAACCGAUAAGCGUUGAAAAGCUUCCGGAUGACCUGAGGGUGGGGGUGAAAGGCUAAUCAAACUUGGAGAUAGCUCGUACUCCCCGAAAUGCAUUUAGGUGCAGCCUUGAGAGUUACUAAUGUGAGGUAGAGCGACUGAUAAGAUGCGAGGGCUUCACCGCCUAUCAAGUCUUGAUAAACUCCGAAUGCGCAUUAGUUCUAUCUCAGGAGUGAGGGCAUGGGUGCUAAGGUCCAUGUCCUAAAGGAGAAGAAUCCAGACCAUCAGCUAAGGUCCCCAAAUAAACACUAAGUUGAACUAACGAAGUCAGAUUGCUAAGACAGCUAGGAUGUUGGCUUGGAAGCAGCCAUUCAUUUAAAGAGUGCGUAACAGCUCACUAGUCGAGGAGUUUGGCGUGGAUAAUAAUCGGGCAUAAGUGUUUUACCGAAGCUAUGGGAUCCUAACGGAUCGGUAGGGGAGCAUUCCACUCAGCGUUGAAGGCUAAGCGUGAGCUUUACUGGAGCGUGUGGAAAAGCAAAUGUAGGUAUAAGUAACGAUAAAGGGGGUGAGAAACCCCCUCGCCGCAAGACUAAGGUUUCCUGAUCAACGCUAAUCGGAUCAGGGUUAGUCGGGUCCUAAGGCUCAGCCGAACGGUGAGGCCGAUGGCAGAACAGGUUAAUAUUCCUGUACUACCUGUAGGAGUGAUGUGGAGACGGAGGAGUGACAACGCCGCGGACUGACGGAAUAGUCCGUUAAAGGGUGUAGAUGUUGAUUAUCCCAGGCAAAUCCGGGAUAAGAGUCGAACCUGACAGUAUACCAAUUUCCUCGGAAAACGGUAAUAGUGCGUGUAAACAUACUCCCAAGAAAAUCCGCUAAACUUAAUCUUACAGGUACCCGUACCGUAAACGGACACACGUAGUCGGGUUGAAUAUACUCAGGCGCUUGAGUGAAUCACGGUUAAGGAACUAGGCAAAUUGACCCUGUAACUUCGGGAUAAAGGGUCCCUACCCGGUGACGGGAGGGCGCAGAGAAUAGGUCCAGGCAACUGUUUAACAAAAACACAGGGCUGUGCAAAAUUGAAAGAUCACGUAUACAGCCUGACACCUGCCCGGUGCUGGAAGGUUAAGAGGAGAUGUCAUCGCAAGAGAAGCAUUGAAUUGAAGCCCCAGUAAACGGCGGCCGUAACUAUAACGGUCCUAAGGUAGCGAAAUUCCUUGUCGGGUAAGUUCCGACCUGCACGAAUGGUGUAAUGAUCUGGACACUGUCUCAACCGUGAGCUCAGUGAAAUUGUAGUAUCGGUGAAGAUGCCGAUUACCCGCGAUGGGACGAAAAGACCCCGUGAACCUUUACUAUAGCUUAACAUUGAAUUUGGGUAAUUGAUGUGUAGGAUAGGCCGGAGACUUUGAAGCAGGUACGCCAG
Molecule: ribosomal RNA, 2016 nt
Filed under: human gut metagenome
Description: bacterial LSU rRNA
Rfam family: Bacterial large subunit ribosomal RNA
Source: RNAcentral